UACGAAGGGGGCUGGCGUUGUUCGGAAUCACUGGGCGUAAAGCGUACGUAGGCGGAUUGUUAAGUCAGGGGUGAAAUCCCGAGGCUCAACCUCGGAACUGCCUUUGAUACUGGCGAUCUUGAGUCCGGGAGAGGUGAGUGGAACUCCUAGUGUAGAGGUGAAAUUCGUAGAUAUUAGGAAGAACACCAGUGGCGAAGGCGGCUCACUGGCCCGGAACUGACGCUGAGGUACGAAAGCGUGGGGAGCAAACAGG
Molecule: unclassified non-coding RNA, 253 nt
Filed under: uncultured Alphaproteobacteria bacterium
Lineage: Bacteria; Pseudomonadati; Pseudomonadota; Alphaproteobacteria
Description: contains 16S-23S intergenic spacer region
Rfam family: Bacterial small subunit ribosomal RNA
Source: RNAcentral